GACGAACGCUGGCGGCGUGCUUAACACAUGCAAGUCGAACGGAAAGGCCCUGCUUUUGUGGGGUGCUCGAGUGGCGAACGGGUGAGUAACACGUGAGUAACCUGCCCUUGACUUUGGGAUAACUUCAGGAAACUGGGGCUAAUACCGGAUAGGAGCUCCUGCUGCAUGGUGGGGGUUGGAGAGUUUCGGCGGUUGGGGAUGGGCUCGCGGCUUAUCAGCUUGUUGGUGGGGUAGUGGCUUACCAAGGCUUUGACGGGUAGCCGGCCUGAGAGGGUGACCGGCCACAUUGGGACUGAGAUACGGCCCAGACUCCUACGGGAGGCAGCAGUGGGGAAUAUUGCACAAUGGGCGGAAGCCUGAUGCAGCAACGCCGCGUGCGGGAUGACGGCCUUCGGGUUGUAAACCGCUUUCGCCUGUGACGAAGCGUGAGUGACGGUAAUGGGUAAAGAAGCACCGGCUAACUACGUGGCAGCCGCCGCAGUAA
This 484-nucleotide ribosomal RNA is filed under the name uncultured bacterium. RNAcentral's name for it is "partial 16S ribosomal RNA". It matches the Rfam family "Bacterial small subunit ribosomal RNA", at positions 28 to 523 of the family's 1533-position model. The record is from RNAcentral.